UACGGAGGGGGCUAGCGUUGUUCGGAAUUACUGGGCGUAAAGCGCGCGCAGGCGGUUCUUCAAGUCAGUGGUGAAAGCCCGGAGCUCAACUCCGGAAUUGCCAUUGAAACUGUGGAACUUGAGGAUGAGAGAGGUGAGUGGAAUUCCCAGUGUAGAGGUGAAAUUCGUAGAUAUUGGGAAGAACACCGGUGGCGAAGGCGGCUCACUGGCUCAUUUCUGACGCUCAGGCGCGACAGCGUGGGGAUCAAACAGG
Molecule: ribosomal RNA, 253 nt
Filed under: uncultured bacterium
Lineage: Bacteria
Description: partial 16S ribosomal RNA
Rfam family: Bacterial small subunit ribosomal RNA
Source: RNAcentral